RNAcentral lists this ribosomal RNA (253 nucleotides) under uncultured bacterium. Its description in RNAcentral is "partial 16S ribosomal RNA". It matches the Rfam family "Bacterial small subunit ribosomal RNA", at positions 524 to 776 of the family's 1533-position model. The record is from RNAcentral.
UACGUAGGGCGCAAGCGUUAUCCGGAAUUAUUGGGCGUAAAGAGCUCGUAGGCGGUUUGUCGCGUCUGCCGUGAAAGUCCGGGGCUCAACCCCGGAUCUGCGGUGGGUACGGGCAGACUAGAGUGAUGUAGGGGAGACUGGAAUUCCUGGUGUAGCGGUGAAAUGCGCAGAUAUCGGGAGGAACACCGGUGGCGAAGGCGAUCACCUGGGGUUGUUCUGACGCUGAGGAGCGAAAGCUAGGGGAGCAAACGGG